GGGGAAUAUUGCACAAUGGGCGAAAGCCUGAUGCAGCGACGCCGCGUGGAGGAUGAAGGCCUUCGGGUCGUAAACUCCUGUCUGGGGGGAUGAAUACUGACAGUACCCCCGGAGGAAGCCCCGGCUAACUACGUGCCAGCAGCCGCGGUAAUACGUAGGGGGCGAGCGUUGUCCGGAAUUACUGGGCGUAAAGCGCGCGCAGGCGGCUUGUUAAGUCAGGUGUCAAAAUGCGGGGCUCAACCCCGUAUCGCACGUGAUACUGGCAGGCUUGAGUGCAGGAGAGGGAAGUGGAAUUCCUAGUGUAGCGGUGAAAGGCGUAGAUAUUAGGAGGAACACCAGUGGCGAAGGCGACUUCCUGGACUGUAACUGACGCUGAGGCGCGAAAGCUAGGGGAGCAAAC
This 400-nucleotide ribosomal RNA is filed under the name uncultured bacterium. Its description in RNAcentral is "bacterial SSU rRNA". It matches the Rfam family "Bacterial small subunit ribosomal RNA", at positions 356 to 773 of the family's 1533-position model. The record is from RNAcentral.